GAUGAAUAACGUAGCGAAAUGCGAUAAGUAAUGUGAAUUGCAGAUUUCAGUGAAUCAUCGAAUCUUUGAACGCACCUUGCGCCUUGUGGUAUUCCACAAGGCAUGCCCGUUUGAGUAUCAUUAAAUCAUCAACUCUAAAACCUUUUUGGUUUUUUUAGAGCUUGGUCUUGAGGGUUUUGCAGGCUUUUUUUUUUUCGAGUCUGCUCCCUUUAAAUGCAUUAGCGAGACUUCCCUAUGCUGAACCGUCUCUUUGACGUGAUAAUUAUCUGCGUCGAAUUUUGGUUCUCGUUGGGCUUGCUUCUAAUCGUCUGUUGAAGACAAAACGGAUUUGGGUGCAUAUAUGCGCCUUUUUCCAAAACCUUUUUUGAUCUCAAAUCGGGUAGGACUACCCGCUGAACUUAAGCAUAUCAAUAAGCGGAGGA
RNAcentral lists this unclassified non-coding RNA (422 nucleotides) under soil metagenome. Its description in RNAcentral is "partial contains 5.8S ribosomal RNA, internal transcribed spacer 2, and large subunit ribosomal RNA". The stretch from base 1 to 120 matches the Rfam family "5.8S ribosomal RNA", at positions 35 to 154 of the family's 154-position model. The record is from RNAcentral.